Molecule: RNA transcript, 11706 nt
Organism: Alligator mississippiensis (American alligator)
Lineage: Eukaryota; Metazoa; Chordata; Crocodylia; Alligatoridae
Gene: AJAP1
Gene name: adherens junctions associated protein 1
Exons: 6
Source: RefSeq, a predicted model, not a curated record
GCGGCCCCGCCGGAGCCCAGCGCAACUUCCCGGCCCCGGCCCCACCUCCACCUCGGCCCGAGGGGAGCGGGCGCCGCGGCCGCCGGUGCUGGGGGCGCCUGACGUCAGCGGGGCCGGGCCACGCGGAGCCGGGGGGGGAGCGGCGGGAGAGCGCGCGGCGGCGCCGCAGCCGGACUCGGAGCCGGACCCGGAGCCGGCGCUGCCCGCGCUGAGCCGAGCCGCGCUUCCGCGGCAACUUCCCCACGCGCACACACGCACACCUAUACGCGCGCACACACACACACACACACGCGCGCGCACGCAGCAGCCUCGCGUCCCGGUGCGCAGCCGGCCCGGGCACCCCGCGCCUCCCCCGCUCCCCGCCCGCGGAGCCGGGCGCGCUGCCGGCGGGGCCGGGGCUGGAGCGCGGAGCCCGGGCGGGCGGCGGUGGCGCUGCUGGGGACCGCUCGCCCCUGCCUGGCCGCAGCGGCUGGACGUCCAGCGCGGGGCGAGCCCGAGAGCCGGAGCCGGAUGCCGGCAUGUCCGCAGCGCUAGGCGCCCCUGCCCCUGCCCCUGCCCCUGCCCCCGGGCGGCUGAGCGGCGGCGGCGGCGGCCCGGCCAUGGGACGCGCGCCCCGGUGAGGUCCCCGCGAGGAAGCGGCCGAGAGCGGCGAGCGGCGGCGGGGCAGCACGGAUGGACCGCGCCGGGCAGGUCUGAGCCGCCCCCGCCGAGCGUGACAAUGUGGAGGACUCGGCUCCCGGGAAUCAGGUCAGGUUGCCCAGUAGGAAGCCAUGCUUGGAUAUUAAUAGCCAUGUUUCAACUAGCCAUGGAUUUCUCCACCUGUGAAUCUGUAGCCCAAGGCCAAGGGUUUAGGCUCUGGCAGAGGCCAUCUCACCGGCACAGAUUGUCCCAUAGUCCUUUGUGGAGUUUUAAAAAUGGACAGCAGUUGCGGAUUCUCAGUCCUUUCUGGAACCAUGCUUCUUUUCAUCCUGAAUGGUCUGAUCAGCAACUACAAACAUAUCAUUCCAGAAGGCCACACAAAACCAUAGACCAGUUUUCAGGCCUUCUUUCUAAAAGCAUGCAGUCUCAGCGCUCUACUGCAGCAAAAUCAGCCCCUUCCAUUGCAGAUGGGAACAAGAGGAGUACAGAGCUGCAGACUCAUUUGAAAAGGGGCAAAAGGCACCUCCGAGAAAACAGUUUUGAUCACAGAGACAGCAGGCCCACCACGCUGCCUGAAGUAAUUAUAUGGGGUCCAACAGGAGAUGAGGACUCCGUAGAAACCAGUACGUUCCCUGGGAAUUAUGGCACCACCACCACCACCACCACCGCCACUUUACAAACAAGAACAACUACUGUGGCAACCACCACUACUACUACCACUUCCACGACUGUACAGUCUAAAGGGUUCACAGCAUCACCCGGGCCAGGGAGUAAAACACACAAGAACAACCCUGGUAGGAUUAGCACAACGGAGCCUCAUUCCAUCCGCAAUAGUGAUGAGAGGGAUGCUACAGCGCCAAAAGACAAUUCAGGUCUGGCAGUCCAUCAGAUUAUCACCAUCACAGUGUCUCUCAUCAUGGUCAUAGCUGCUCUGAUAACAACUCUUGUGUUAAAAAAUUGUUGUGCACAAAGUGGUAACCCCAGGAGAAACAGCCACCAGCGCAAAAUCAAUCAGCAGGAGGAGAGCUGCCAGAAUCUGACGGACUUCACCCCAGCUCGUGUGCCCAGCAACCUGGACAUAUUUACAGCUUAUAACGAAACACUGCAGUGCUCCCAUGAGUGUGUCAGGACAGCUGUGCCUGUGUACACAGAGGAGACAUUGCACUCACCAGGGGAUUAUAAAACAACGUUCAAUGGAAACAGACCCUCUUCUUCUGAUCGGCAUCUUAUUCCUGUGGCCUUUGUGUCUGAGAAAUGGUUUGAAAUCUCCUGCUGACUGGCCGAAGUCUGUUUUACUUCCUGGGGGCAGGGCAGACGCCAUGUGGCUAUUUCCUGGAUUCCGCUGGUGAACCUGUAAAAAACAAAACGGACAAAAAUAUUAAUGGGUUACCUGUACCUACCCAGUUCUGUUUACCGGUAGGAGACUAAAAGAGCAGCACUCUAUGGGCCAAAUAUAUUUUUAUAAAAAUGAACAUGCCUAUAGGUAACUGCAUUUUCAAAGAGUGCAUUUUUUUGAAGAAGAGAAAAAAAUGUGCAAGCAAAGAAUCUCUGUGAAGAAAGAUGAAGUCGAGAAGAAAUGAGGCAAAGGACCGAACAUCUGAAGUUUGGGAUAUGGACUGUGAUUCUGAACCUGUGCCAAUAAUACCAUUAUGUGCCAUGUACUGAUGUGAAAGACUUCGCAGCAAGCCGAAGCUAAGUGAAUUACACAUAGACAUAUUACAGAAAAUAGGGGUGGGGUAUCUCUUCUGAUAGAGUCAAUAUUUCUGGUCAAUAUACAUAUAUACAUAUAUAUAAAUAUAUAUAUAUACAACACACACACACUUUUUUGUACUGUAGCAAUUUUUGAAGAUCUUAAAUGUUCAUUUUUAAAAAAGAAUUGUGUCAUGGGCUACAAAUCUGGUUUCCUUAACAUGCUUAGUAUGAACGAAAUAAACUGAUGUUUUCUACUUCGGCAGCUUGCCUUUCAAACAUAUAUAUUUAUAUGUAUAAAGAUAUAUAUACAUAUACAUAUAUACACACACACACACACACACACAAACAAAUACACACACACACACACACUUGAAAUACAUUUCCACUAGUGAACAUAUUAUUUGUAAAGCCCAGUAACCAAUUGAUAACGGAGGCUUCCCUGUUGAGGUUUGGAAGGUCGGUGAAAAUAACAGUUCUCUUUUCCAUGGUAGAAUUGCCAGGGUGCUAGCAAGAACGGGAAGAGAAUGUCUUUGGCUGAAAGCUGAAUUUUAUGAAAUUGCUCAUAGUGCAAAUAUCAGGUGGUUCUGACAGUUCUCAAAAGAAAAGUGUGUUUAAUAGUAUUCUAGGCUGAGUCCAGGAGUAUUUUGAAUACAACUGAAAAUAUGCAUUAGGCUCCAAUUCACAAAGUGCACUCUUGUUUUUGUGAAUUAAAACAAAGUCCAAAUGUAAACUUCGAAGGAGUGAAGUCAGUGGAAAAUCCCAUGAACCUGGCCACUCAGAUAUUUGCAUGCUGAACCCCCAACUCAAGUGCUAGUGCUGCUGUGAAACAGCAAUGAACUGGAAGAGUGAUCUGUGUUUGGAGGGUAAAUUUAAAAUCAAACUUUGUUCCAAAUAUCCCAGAUAUAUGCAUUGAAGUGGUGUCAACUCCAGGUGAACCUUCAUGUGCUUGCCAGGGUUACCAAAAAUUAUUACAUGUUUUUGUAAAAAAACCAACCAACCAACCAACCAAUCCAUACCUCCAGACCCUCUCCCCACCUUCGCUAGAAAUGCAUGCACCAAAGUGAUCGAGUAAUCCUAGACUUUGCCAGAUUAAAAGGUAGGUUGCAUUGGAUUGCUGAUUACCUUGCCAGAUUAAAAGGUAGGUUGCAUUGGAUUGCAGGGAACCUAAAAAUGAAAUCUGAAUUCAGCAUCUGUGCCAUUUAGUAGAUAAUAUAUGUUGGGUAGACUUUGCAAACGUGCACAACUGGGGACAGUGGCAAGAGCUAUUGUUACUGAAAACAAGUUGUAACUAGGAAGAAGUUACUACAAAAAGUGAGCAGUAAACUUUUUUAUUUUUUUAAUUCAUGUGCUGACAAGUUGGAUAGAAGAAAGGCCUGAAAACAACUGGAAGUUCCCUUCAUUUUGUAGCGCUCUAGUCUCUAUCUGUAUAUUUAUGGUGUUAUACAUAUGUGCUGGCCAGAGGGGAGUCUAAACAUUACUCUCUCUGUGGAAAAACAUAGAACUUCCCACCUUUGAAACCACGCUGCAUUUCACUAAACUCCAUCUUAUCUUACUGUGGGAAGUUAUGAGUCAGCCUUCACACAAAACUCCUGUAGUGCUGAGGGGGAAAAGCACAGGUUUGCCAUUCCCUCCCUAGCUACUGAAACGUGGCUGCAAAUCUUCCGGCCAGCUUCUGAAAGAUGAAUCCAUCUCGGUUGUGGCCAGCCCCUCCGAUGUGGCUUACUAUGAAUGUUCAGGUGGUGAAUUUUAUCAGCACAGACACACCCAGAAAUGAAUCUUACAGUCAGAUGUGAGAGUAUAUGUGGAAAUUGAAUUUAAACUUCUCUGUGCAGAGCAUAAAUAUUCACACUCAUUCAGCUGAGGGUAGGGACACAAUGAACUGGCACCAGACCGGAUCCAAAGACCACCAGAUCAUUUGGUACCUUUCUACUGGCUUCAGUGGGUUUGGAUUAAGGUGCACAAAAAUACAGCUCUACACAGCUGUUUAGGAAAAAACGAUAGUAUUCAAACGUCUUCAUACCAGCUCAUCUUUGUACCAGCUCAACUAGUCCCAGCACUUUUGUUUUGGGGGUUAAUUUUUGGCCAAGGGUAAUGAGCUAUUUUUUAACAUAAUGACUUACAGAGUAAAAUUCACCAUACAAAUCUUUCCGGUGGGACUAGGUUCUGAUCAUUAGUGCAGCCAAUAGUGAUGUGCUGGGUAGCUAGGUCAAGCCAAAGAUAAUUAGGUUUGGCUGUCAUCUUUAAAUAGGAAGGAGCAGAAAUAACUAUAAUCCAUGAAUAUCCACUUACGGUAGCUGAUAUCUAUCCAAGAACAGCUUCUACAACUUAAAAGAUUGCCCAAAAUAUGCUGGCAAUGGGACAUGUUUGCAAACAGUUUCAGGAGCUCCUCACAUUUCUAAAAUCUGACCUCCCCCAUGCCUAGAAGAGAGCAUCCACCAUUUGAAGAACAGCUUUUCAAAAGUUUAUAUUAGCUAUUUAUUCUUGAAUGGAAUCUUUUUGCUAUUUCUAACUGAAGCAUUUACCCCAAGUGGGCUAUAUAACUAAAGGAAUGUAUUCUACCCUCUUUUACGCUUGUACAAACCUACAGAAACCUCAGUGAAAUGAAUUGCAAUGAAAUUAGUAUACAUUUAGAAGAGCCUAAGUUAACCAGACUCUAGCCCCAUGGUUGCAGGAUCUUCCUUGUAAGCCGCCUCCAUAAGCAACGGCAAUUUGUUGGAACUAUGCAGAACAACAUUCAUAUUCAUAUAUUAAAUAGAUGACUCACUUUCUGUUUUCAACUUAAUAUGGGAAGUAUUCAGAAGAAAGUGGAUAUGUCCCACAUUUUAUGUGGCUAAUAGUGUAUAUUACAGCCCUGAAAAACAUGAUAACUUUUGCAGUCUCCCUGCUUCUACAGUAUUUUCUAUCCCUUUCUUACGCUACUAGGUGUUUUUUAUUUACAAUCUGCUCUGCUCAGCUCUGGAAAGAAAUCUUCAUGGCCCUGCUCCCUUCCCUCCUUAGGACAUAUGGGCCACACUCCAAGCCCUUUGAAGGCAAUGGAAUGACUGUAACUUUGAGGGGCUUUAAAUCAGAAACACCACUUCCUAUUGAGCUGGAUCACACAUAGAGUCUGGUAUUUGAUAAGAAGGAUGAGCAUAGAUUAUUUUUUGUCAGCAUGUAUUAUCUUACAUUCUCCUAUGUUAAAUUCUACCUGUCAUUGUGCUGCUUGACAUGUACAGUGUUAAUGUUCACCCCAGGCCUUUCAAUGGACUUCACAAGUUUUAUAAAGCCACCUAUCAAAUGAGUUUUAUAUACUCAACCUCCACUUUCCACACCUAAACUGACUGCCACAGCACCCACCUCCUUCAACCAUACAGUGGGGCCAGUUUCCUAAAACACCCAAUCAGCUUGUAUUCUCUGACAAAAUUUUGCUCCUUAUUUAAGAACCAUUUAUUUCCUUCAGGCGAAAUUUCAUUCCUCUUGAGUAGUACCUCUUGACUUCAGGGAGGUUGCUCAUAGAGAUGGGUUCUGUUCAGUGGACGCAUCUACAUAGAUGCUACGUUGCCAUAAUGACAAGCUAUGGCAAUGUAGCUCAUUGCUAUGGUGACAUAGCAUCAGUGGGCACUAACUAUGACGCCACCAUUACUGCGCAGUAGGGUUGGAAAUGACCUGUGCGCUGCCAAUACUGCACAGUCCCGGCAUGUGUAGAUGCCCCCAGUAUGUAGCAGAUGAUAAGAAUGUUGACCUCCAUCAUCUUUUCUGGAGGAACCUAGCAAUUUCUUUUCCUAUUUAGCACAUCCAGGUAAAUGAUGUCCCUUGGGCGAAGUAAUCUAGUAUCAGGUAGAUUAUUUCAAACAUUUCUAGGGUUAGACAAGCCUGUAGGGUUAUAUAAACUUCCCCCAGUUGUCUACUGUGCUGUAUGCAGCUAGACACUUCAUUGUAUCCAGGUUAGGUUUGCUGGUCUAUAAUUCCCAAGACCUGUUUUUUUAACAUGCUGAUUAUUGUAGGCAAAAAGAGUAAGUGUGCACAGGAUUAAAUGUACCCAUGUGCACUGGCUCUCCAGCACUUAAAUCCUGUUUAUGCCCUAUUUUGAGGGAUUAAACAGGAUUUCAGUGAUGCACAACCUUUGUUACCAGGCCUUCUGCAUAGGGGAGAAUUUCGCACAGAAGGAGUGGACUCCUUCAAAAGACUUCUCUUAGGAAAAACAGUAUACAUUACCUUCCCAAGUGCUUUGCCUCCACCUUCCCUACGCACGACUGCUGUCAAAGACAGAUCUUGUCAGAUCUUUCCACAUUCCCCAACAGAGUACUAAACAAUGGCCACAGCACAAUAUUAUUCUUCCUUCUCAAUUCUAUUUCACUGAGGUGGUCUGUCCAUCCAAUGUGUAGUCCCAGGCCUAAUGAUGAAAGUACAACAGAAGUUUGUUUUAGAAGUACUUAAUUAAAGCAUAAUUGACUAACCUCUUUAUUAUUAAUUCUACUAAUCAUCAUUAUUGUUUUUUAGCUGGGCCUGAUUGGUCUCUCCUGCAUGCUGGAGAAAGUCAGGUGUAAUUCUCUUUGUAGUCAGUGGGGUUACACCUGGGUAAAGCAGGUUGAAGCGAGAGGACAGUCAGCCUACAGUAUUUACGUGGCAUAGUUACACUUCAGUCAUCUCUAUCUGUGGCAGUAGAUUAUAAUUAACAUACAAUUGGCUUUAAACAGUCCGUAGCACCACCUAGUGCACUAAACAUACUGUCUGUGCACUAAUCACACUGUAUGAUAUACUUAAUAAGCAAGAGUUUAAAAAAAGCAAACCAUUAAACCAAAACUUGCACGAUUAAUGUGAUUUUGGGUGAUUACUUUGGUGCAAUCAGUUGAUUCAGUAUACUGGGGGCUUUGUAUUUUAUCAGUGUAAACAAUGCAGUCCACACAAACAACCAAAACUCACUAUCACAGAGUAUAUGAAUUUCUCUUCCUUUUACUUACAUUGCAUUGAUCCACUUUCAACCAUGAGGACUAUCUAUGUGUGUUAUAUUUUACCCAUUGAUCUUCUAUUUAUUUGUAUCUGUUGGCUGCACUGAGUAGUUCUUGUGGGUAUUCUAAUGUAAUCCUAAUAGCAGUUUGACAUCAUAAAACAGAUUUCAUUUCCCUCUUUCAAAAAUGUUUGAAGUAUUGUUAUAUAUUUAUGCAUCUGUUGAAUUUGGGUCCUUACUAGACUGUUAUAAGUGAGGAAGAUACAGUUAUGGAGGGGAGGGGGGGGGUGGAUGUUGUAUUCCUCACUACCAUAAGCAAGAGGGGCCAAAACUCCUGUGGGAUUAGCAUCCAAUAAAAAAAAUUGUCAAACAAAGGCAAGGGAGGGAAUACUGUUGACCUCAUCCAACUCGAGCAAGACCUUAACUUCAUGAGCUUUCCACUUACUCUGCAGAGACAGAAUCAGUCACUGUGAGACCAGCCAGUGACAGAACAGAAGCAAAACUAUAUGCACAAACUUCCCUUAUUUAUAAGGACCAAUGGCACUUGCACUUUAUCAGAGGAAUAUUCACAUCCCUAUGCAUGCUGAGCAAACCAAGAAAGAGAGAAACCUGUAGAACCACCAGCAGGAGAGCACUGCAAACACACUGAUUGCCAUGCAGGACUGUAGUGUCCUGACCUUUUGUAUGGUUAAAGAAAAAAAAAAGCAUUUAAUCCGUUCCCUGUAAUUGAGGGAAGCCAAAAAAUAUAGAGAGUGAUAUUUUUGAGUGGGAUUGAUGCUUAUCUGGUUUUUAGCUGUUAUGUUACAAAGAACAUGUUCACCCCACACUUUAUCAGAUGAUACAAAGCAGCAGGCAUGUUCUUCUGUUUAGAUUUAUUUUGUUCCCACAGCCAGAUUUUCCCCAUGAGAACCUUACAAAAUCAGCAGUCACAUGCCAUCACUUUGUAUGGAUCUCCUUUAUAAGGAGCAAUUGCAAAAGGCAGAUACUUAGCUGGUGGUACCUGGCCCAGUUCCACUGACACUAGUUUACACAAGCUGAACAUCUGGUGUGAAAUUCCUUGACAGCAAAUGAGCAAGUUUCUGCAACUACUUACAGAAUGAGUCCCUUUACACCUGGGAGCCAUUCUUUUGGGUUCUAUAGGACUUACUCCUAGGAGAAAAACUACUCAUCUUCAUGAUUAUAGAAAGAGGCUCUAAGAUCACAGUUUGUAUCAUGUUCUGGAGCCAAACCACAUUCCAUCGAGUGUGUGAUUACCAUACCUCAAAAUGCAGCAUUGUGUUCUUUGACAAUUUGAUUUUAUUCAUAUUCUUUGAGGCAACAUCUCUUCCCAAUCCUGAGGAAGGAGGUCAGGUCAAAUCUCCUGUAAAUAUAUGCAGUCUAUCCUGGGAGGUCAUGCUUUGCUACAGUGUCAUGCUAUGGAAUCAGAGGUAUAUAUUUCUUGUGAAUAGAUGAAUAUAUAAUAAAUAUAGAUAAGCAACCAUAUAUACUCAAAAGGAUAGUGUUCCAAAGGGAUCUGGUGACACUGUGAACAGCCAAAACUGGCUGUUUACAUACAGAGCCCUGAGACCGAGUUGUGUUGCUGCAUACAUGUUUCUUUUAUAUAUAUAUAUAUAUAUAUAGAUCUAUAUAUACAUAUGCAAAUUUUAGAAUGUUUCUUUCUGGAGUUGUUUGCAGUUUAUAUUCCAUGGACCUGAUUCUGCUAAGUGCUUAGCACCUCCUGGACCAAAUUCUGUAAGCCCCAUUGUCAUGUGAUUUCAGUGGGAGCUGAGGGCACUCAGAACCAAAUCGGGUCAUGACCCUGACCACACUUUUCCAAAACAUCAGAGCAUGGUACUGCCAAUGUGGGGUCCUAGUCAUGUGUGCAGAGGUGCAUAAGGCAUGUAUGAGUGCAGGACAGGGAAGCGAGACUUCUUGGAGUCCUAACCACAGCUGCAGCAAAGACUCAGUGAGUGGCUUAGGUGCAAAGUGCUGGACCUGUUGCCCUGAGUUCCCCCACCUGUAAAAUGGGGAUAAUAAUACUGACCAAACCUACCUCACAGGGGUGUUGUGAGGAUUAAUUAGCUGAUGUCUGUACAGCUCUUUGAACCUGUAAAGCAUUGUAUAAGAACUAAGUAUUAUUACAGCUGUUACACAGUUAAUCCUGUAGUAUGGAAUGCCAAGCUGUCUGCAAAUCUGUAGGGACCCAAAGAGAUCAUAGCUGCGUUACUGAUAACAUACUGACGUCUUGCAGUGAUAGAUGUGUGCGUCACUCAUACAUGACACCAAGGCUGGGUCACAAGCCAAAUGCGCGCCUCUUAAUGACCAGCAUGUGCCGUUUCCUCAACAACAUAGAUGUGAUUUUCUUUCCAAUGCAUUACAGACAGAGCAGUUCCACCAAAGAGCUGUGCUGUUCACUAUACCAGAAAACUUCUGCUAAUUCCUUUGAAAUUCCAUUUGGUUCCUUCUGCCCAUGAAUACACGAUAGCCACCAUUUAUAAUGUUAUAAAAUCCCCUAAGAGAGAUCUUUUCUCAGCCAAGUGCAUCUUUAAAGAAAAGAGGUGGGAGAGCUAAGCACAGAUACACACAGGACAUGUUCAAACACUUGCCUGAACACAACUGGCAAUUUGAUCUUAGCCCAAGAUUUUGAAAGAAGUUUGGUUCACUUUUUUUGUACAAAAAUCCUGAGGGUCACUCCUCCUCUCAAGCCUGCCAGCAGGGACUGAUUGCAUCAGCAGAAGUUUGCAGGAGUCUUUCUUUUUUCACUCAGAAAAAGGCCCCGAUUUGACUUCAGGUGGGGUUUUUUUUUCCUAAAUCUGAGCAAAAUCUGAACAUGAACUUAGGGACAUGGUUCUUAAUCCAAACUCUCUGAAGUCAAUGGGAGUCAGGUGCUUGACCUCCUGAACUGCUCAUGCUUCUGUGCCUCCUGGUGUCAUCUGGAAUUGGAAGGCAAAUCAGUCUGGGUUUCCUGCCUGUAUGCCUAUGCAAGGCUAGCUCAGAUAAGCAUCCUGCCACAGUCCAGAAUGUUACCUAUCACUAGUUAUUGUGCAGGCAGGUAGGAGAACAGUAUUAUUUUUUCCUUUGCAAACUAACUAUAUGUAUUCAAAAGGAAGCAACUAGUCUUAGUGCCACUCAGAGAUGGAAAGAUGUGUAUUUUUUUGCGGUGGCAAGAGGCUGGACAAAUGUUGAUGAGUUUUAGUGGCCUCCAAACAAAAGAGGAAAAAAACAACACAUUGUUUCAAUGUGGGGAAAGCAUUUUGCAACUAUCCAGGGAUUUAGCUGUACCUUAAAAGGUUUCUUUUUUCUCCCUACUGUAUCUGCCCUGCUGGUGAAGUGGCUGAUCCAUGAUUUAUUUAACUGAAAGCUGUUCAGAAGCAGCACUCCUACAGAGUCCUCAAAUCUAAAGUAUACUUCCAGUGCAGUCAGUAAAACAAAUAGAAAAAGGUCAACCAGUCCAAAAGGUUAUUUGAAACUUCAGAUGGAUUUCAGUUAAUUUAUUUUCCAUUGGCAACAUGUUACGAAGGAGCAUAAUGCACCUAAAAGGAUAGUCAAACAGGAAAUAUUUUACACACCUGACAUAUUUUGUUAAAAAAUAUACAAAAUCACCCACCACUUUUGAGAUGAAUGUGGUUGGAAUUUUCGUUCAACCAGGUACGAAACCUGGAAAUGAUUUUCAAAACCAGCAAGAAAUCCCUAAUCAUUUUAAAAGCCUGAUUUGGGUCCGGUUUGUACUGCAGAGUCACAUGAUGCUUGUCACAAUUUUUGUAGUCUCAGCAUUUGUAGGCACAUUUUUAAAAUACCAUGCGUGGAGAUACUUACUUUGAGGGGGAAAGAAAAAAAAAACUAUCUUGCACAAAACAUACACUAAGGGCACAGUUUUCUGACCAAGACUAUUUUACGUUAGGUUUUGAAGGGUUUGGUUUUUUUGGUUGCAGGAACAUGUACAGUAAAAUUUACAGUUUAUUUUCAUUUUGCCAAAACAUUUUCUAACAUAAGAAAAGUUUUACUUUGUAAUCAAAGGUUCACAUCAUGGAAGACCAUUUAUUUUUCUGUGAAUGCUAUUUACCAUGUAUGUGUGUAUGUGUGUGUGUGUGUGUGCGCGUGCGUGUGUGUGUAUAAAAUUGCAUACACCCACGCACACAUAUAUCUAUUCUAUACAGAUUCAUAUAUGCUACACACAUAUAGGUCUUUAAUGGGUUUAAACCUUUGUGUCAAUUUUAACACUGUACUUUCCUUUUCUAAACAGAUCAUGCCACUUUACUACUAAUAAAUGACAUAUAGGGUUUUGGAGGGAGUCAACUGGCUAUGAUUCCGUACAGGUGAACUAUUUUAUUCCAGAGUGUUUUUUAAUUUGUUUCUGUAUUUCAAAGCUGUGUAUUUGGAAAGCACUGUAAAUGCAACCCUAUACCAAUUUCCCUAUGUAUAUUUAGUACUCUGAUGUUGCUAUUAAAAAACAAUAUGAGAAAAACAUG